Molecule: unclassified non-coding RNA, 257 nt
Filed under: Hevea brasiliensis (rubber tree)
Lineage: Eukaryota; Viridiplantae; Streptophyta; Magnoliopsida; Malpighiales; Euphorbiaceae
Source: RNAcentral
AAAUGGUCGGGGGGUUGAAAGUGGGUUUUCUAGUGAUUCAAAAUAAGGUACAAAACAUUUUUUAUCUUACUGACGAAUCACACAUGACUAUGGAAUAUAAUUCAGCAUGAUUUAGUGACUUAAGAAAAUUAAGUAAAUAAUAUAAAUACAAUUUCCCAAAGAAAUAAUCCUCAAAUGAUCAUUGUGCAAAACCAAGAAUAAUAUCGAUCCAGUAUUUCAGGCAUAACAAUUCACCUGUUUGCCCAUAUGCAAAGCAA